UAGGAUACGAUUAUGUUCACUUGCUAGAAACGAAGAAAUAAUUUGAGUGUAUGAUCAACGUACGACUUUGAAAGGGCAGCAACUACUGAAUUUGGGGAAUAUGGCUCUUUGUUCUCAAGGUUCAUUACUUUCAUUGGCAAUAUUGCUACUUGUAUUUAACUUCUCUUGUUCGCAAGAUCCUCUGGAAAAUGGAAAUCAUAAUAUCAAAUCCGCUACUUUUCUCUCUCCUGAGUUUGUAUUGGGACCAGGAUCAGUUGAGAACAGAAAUUAUUUCAAUGUUGACUUCCCAAGAGGUCAUAUUGCUCUCAAGAGCUUUAAUGCUGAAGUAAUUGAUGAGUCUGGGAAUCCUGUCCCCCUCCAUGAAACUUAUCUUCACCACUGGGUCGUUGAUAGAUACUAUCAACGCAAAGAUAAAGCUUCAGCCACUGAGAACAAUCAACGAUCAGAUUAUAAGUUUGCAGGGAACAGUGGAAUAUGCCAGGGUCGUGUUCUUAGACAGUAUUUUGGCCUUGGAUCAGAAACGCGAAAAACGGCUACACAUGUUCCUGAUCCUUUUGGAAUAGAAAUUGGAAAUCCUGCUGAAAUUCCUACAGGAUAUGAGGAGAGAUGGAUGCUUAAUGUACAUGCCAUCGAUACCCGGGGUGUUGAAGAUAGGUUGGGAUGCACUGAAUGCAAAUGUGAUCUUUACAACGUCACGGUGGAUGAAAAUGGUAAACCUUUGAGGCCGGAUUAUACCGGAGGUUUUUAUUGUUGCUAUGAUCGCACACAGUGCAGAAUAAGACCAGGUUUUGAGGGUGUCAAGCGGAGCCUCUACCUACGGUAUACAGUGAAGUGGGUUGACUGGGAUAGUUCAAUU
Molecule: unclassified non-coding RNA, 856 nt
Filed under: Hevea brasiliensis (rubber tree)
Lineage: Eukaryota; Viridiplantae; Streptophyta; Magnoliopsida; Malpighiales; Euphorbiaceae
Source: RNAcentral